Dermatophagoides farinae (American house dust mite) is the source of this 1479-nucleotide long non-coding RNA. RefSeq lists it as uncharacterized. The record is from RefSeq and is a predicted model, not a curated record. NCBI's taxonomy places the organism in Eukaryota, Metazoa, Arthropoda, Arachnida, Sarcoptiformes, Pyroglyphidae.
GAUCAUUUUUAUUUUUUGCUGAAUGGCCAAAAAAAAAAAAAAAUUCGUAUGGUUCUUGAAUGAUAAAGAAAUCUCUGUAGUGGAUUUAUGGAGUUGGAAAACUUGUCGUUUGGAUUUGUUCGAAAACAUGCAUCAAAUUCAACUUGUCAUCAACAAUAUUGACGAAUAAUUGUUGUUAUUGUUGACUGCCACAACAAAUUUGUUUGCAUAAAGAUUAAAUCCUUUUUUUCAUGCAAUCCAUCACAUCAACAACAACAUCUGUGACUAUGAUGAAAACUUUUCGACAAAACAAGACAAACAUACAAGAUGUGACGACAACAGCAAAAAAAAGUAAAGAAAAUUAAUUUUCAAACAAUCAUGCAAAAUGUGACAAAAUAUGGAAUUUGUCAUCAUCCACAAAAAAUGGUAUUGAUUGAUAGUCCGUGAUCGACCAUCCCUAUCCAUUGGUUUGGUAAUAAAGUUUACAUUUUUUUUUCAUGGUGCCGUAUUAUAAACUACCAGCACCAGCAGCAGCAGCAGUUAUUGGUUUGAUCGAUGUGUUGUGUUAAUUUACCAGGUGAUUUUGUAUUUUUGAAAAAUGAAAAACAAAAUUUUGUUAACCAACACAUAAAUUGAAAACAAUUGCCACAUUUGCGAAAUUGCAACUGAAUGAUGAAUUUUUUUUUUUUUAUAUGAAAAUUAAAAUUAAAUUCCAGCGAAAAAUUCAUCCACUGGAAAUCCCUUUCGGAUGUUUCAUUCAUUCAUUGAUUCUUUGUGUCAUAUAAUGCAAAAAUCGUAAAUUUCACCAUCAUCAUCAUCAGCCACCGCCUUGAAUGAAGAAAAAAUUCCUCUACAACGGAUGUAACUUAUUAAAAUUCAUCAUCACUUCGUCUCCAUUCAUUCGUUCAUUCAAUUCAAUAAGUGACAUAAUGAUUACUACGAUAUUGAUGACGGCCUAUUUUCUCAUUUGGUUUAAAUAUAAUUUCCUUUUUUCUUCGUUUUUGCUUUGCCAUAACUUUUUGUUGUUAAAUUCAGAUCUCGAUCAAAUCAAAAAAGAGAGAAAAAUCUUCAAUUUAACAUCCUGGCGACAAUGAUGAUGAUCUGCAUCAUCAUGUUUGUUUGGUGAGUGUAGAAAUAACGAUUUCUAAUUAUUAAUUUGGUGAUUUUAAACUUUUUUUUUUUGCAACAGUGAAAAUUUCAUCAUUGGUCAUAAUCAUAGCCAUCAUUGGAUGACGAUCACAUAUACACACACAGAGAGACACCAUAAUUCAAUACGAAUACGAAGACGGGAAAAAAAAUAUCUAGCCAUUAAUUUUAAUCAGCAUUUAAAACAUCACAAAGGCAAUGAACGAACGAAAUAAAUUGAUCACACUUAAUCUUUCCAGCAACGACAACAACAACAACGACGACGACGACGACAACAAUAAUGGAACAAAUUAGUUGUGUGUGUGUGUGUGUAUGUAUGUGCAUGUUUAGCUCAAUUAAAGUUUUUCGUUUUCA